RNAcentral lists this ribosomal RNA (497 nucleotides) under uncultured bacterium. RNAcentral describes it as "partial 16S ribosomal RNA". It matches the Rfam family "Bacterial small subunit ribosomal RNA", at positions 28 to 507 of the family's 1533-position model. The record is from RNAcentral.
GAUGAACGCUGGCGGCGUGCCUAAUACAUGCAAGUCGAGCGAACGGACGAGAAGCUUGCUUCUCUGAUGUUAGCGGCGGACGGGUGAGUAACACGUGGAUAACCUACCUAUAAGACUGGGAUAACUUCGGGAAACCGGAACUAAUACCGGAUAAUAUUUUGAACCGCAUGGUUCAAAAGUGAAAGACGGUCUUGCUGUCACUUAUAGAUGGAUCCGCGCUGCAUUAGCUAGUUGGUAAGGUAACGGCUUACCAAGGCAACGAUGCAUAGCCGACCUGAGAGGGUGAUCGGCCACACUGGAACUGAGACACGGUCCAGACUCCUACGGGAGGCAGCAGUAGGGAAUCUUCCGCAAUGGGCGAAAGCCUGACGGAGCAACGCCGCGUGAGUGAUGAAGGUCUUCGGAUCGUAAAACUCUGUUAUUAGGGAAGAACAAAUGUGUAAGUAACUAUGCACGUCUUGACGGUACCUAAUCAGAAAGCCACGGCUAACUACGUG